UACGGAGGGUGCAAGCGUUAUCCGGAUUCACUGGGUUUAAAGGGUGCGUAGGCGGAUAAGUAAGUCAGUGGUGAAAUCUCCGAGCUUAACUCUAGAACUGCCAUUGAUACUAUCUGUCUUGAAUAUUGUGGAGGUAAGCGGAAUAUGUCAUGUAGCGGUGAAAUGCUUAGAUAUGACAUAGAACACCUAUUGCGAAGGCAGCUUACUACGCAUAUAUUGACGCUGAGGCACGAAAGCGUGGGGAUCAAACAGG
Molecule: ribosomal RNA, 253 nt
Filed under: uncultured bacterium
Lineage: Bacteria
Description: partial 16S ribosomal RNA
Rfam family: Bacterial small subunit ribosomal RNA
Source: RNAcentral